CCGCACGCGCGCUACACUGACAGAGCCAGCGAGUACUCCCUUGGCCGGAAGGUCCGGGUCAUCUUGUUAAACUCUGUCGUGCUGGGGAUCAGAGCAUUGCAAUUAUUGCUCUUCAACGAGGAAUCCCUAGUAAGCGCAAGUCAUCAGCUUGCGUUGAUUACGU
This 163-nucleotide ribosomal RNA is filed under the name uncultured eukaryote. Its description in RNAcentral is "partial 18S rRNA". It matches the Rfam family "Eukaryotic small subunit ribosomal RNA", at positions 1487 to 1650 of the family's 1831-position model. The record is from RNAcentral.